RNAcentral lists this transfer-messenger RNA (381 nucleotides) under Bacteroidales bacterium. It matches the Rfam family "transfer-messenger RNA". Rfam says of the family: Bacterial tmRNA, also known as 10Sa RNA or SsrA, is named for its dual tRNA and mRNA-like properties. Lineage: Bacteria; Pseudomonadati; Bacteroidota; Bacteroidia; Bacteroidales. The record is from RNAcentral.
GGGGCCGACUGGUUUUGACAGCAGGGAUAGUGGAAAGCAAGCACGCCGAGGGUUGGGUGAACGCCUCGUUAAAACCAAUGCUCAAGCCAUUAAACGGCAACAAUAGCGAUUACGCUCUCGCUGCCUAGUACAAGGUACUACAUGCAACGACGCUUCCGGAAAAAACCAUGACAGACGGUUCGUUUCCAACGAAGUGCAAAACAAUCAAAGUCGGUUCCGAACUCACCUCGCUUUCGGAUGUGCUCGGUAAUUAGGAAGAUAAGAGCGGGAUACGGAUGCUUUUCGCCAGUCCCGUUACGAAAACCAAAGGAAAGGCUAAGCGUGUAGAAACCUUUUUUGCUACUUGUUUGGACGGCGGUUCGAUUCCGCCCGGUUCCACAA